GAACUCACUUCAGCAACACAUAUACUAAAACUGGAACAAUACAAAGAGGAGUAGCAUUGCUCCUGCACAAAGAUGGCAUGAAAAUUUGUGAAGUGUACUAUAGUUUA
Molecule: small nuclear RNA, 107 nt
Filed under: Notamacropus eugenii (tammar wallaby)
Lineage: Eukaryota; Metazoa; Chordata; Mammalia; Diprotodontia; Macropodidae
Source: RNAcentral